Molecule: long non-coding RNA, 799 nt
Organism: Humulus lupulus (European hop)
Lineage: Eukaryota; Viridiplantae; Streptophyta; Magnoliopsida; Rosales; Cannabaceae
Exons: 2
Source: RefSeq, a predicted model, not a curated record
AUUUUCUCCAUAAUCUUCACUCUCGUCCUCCUAAUCUUUUGACACUCCAGACUUGACCCAAUCCACCUCCACCAAAACAGUAAAGGUUGUAAUUAAGGGUCGGGUUUAGGGCGUGUGUUUACAGGAACAGGACUAUUGAGAACAUAAAGCAGUUGGGUUUAAAGGGUUGGGUUCGGAAUAGGAGAGAUGACUCCGUGGAGGCUCUUUUUUCUGGGAACCCUGACUCGGUCAAAAAGAUGUAACAGAGGUGUCGCUGGGGUGCUUCGUAUCUAGGUUUUUGCAGCUGGGCUCGGGGACGCGCGCGCCUGAAAUCACGCGGGUGCCUCGAUUGGGCUCUCGCACUUGCGCGAGAGGUUGGGCACUUAGGCGAGCACGGAGGCGGAUGGAGCUAGGGGUUACAGAGGAGGCGUAGAUGGGUUCUUGCGACUGGGCAUGGAGUCGCAGAUGGGUUCUUGGCUUCAGAUCUUCUCUUGGACGCUGCCAUGGAUGGUAAUAUGUGAUGUUUAAAUUUAUGGGUUUUUGUUCUUUGGCUACUAGUUUUUGUUUGUUGAUUUUUGAGGUAUAAAUUCUGAGUUUUAUGGAUGAGGUUGGGGAUGUGUAGAUCUGUCGAUUUUUGCUUUGGUUGUGGUCGAGGAUGUGCAGAUCUGAAUAUAUUUUUUUGGCUUUGGUUCUACACAUUAAAGUUGUAUUUUGGUGAGAUUUGUAGAUUUUUAUUACUCACUGUAUGUCUAGAUUUGGGAGUUUUUGAAUGGAAAUAUGUAUAUUUAAGUUUAUGAAUAGAUUUUUGGUUCGUGUUCAA